GAUCGAUUGUGAAUUUAAAGCAAGAAGCUUGGAGGGUGUUUAGCAAUGGUGAAGGAAGAAGAUUAGUUAACUAGAAUAACCAUUGUUUAGGGGGGAUUUUUUUUUUUUUUUUUUUUUUUGAGUUGUUUAAAUGGUUAACUAAGGGUUAAACGUGGGUUUAGGGAAAAAAUGACGUCAUAAAUGGUAUUAAGUGAAGUCUAGUAGUAAAAUCAAAUUUUUAAAAAUAUUUUCAAUAGUAACUCAUAAAUUUUUUAGUUCCCAAUAUUAAUUUUUAAAAUGGCAUUAAUAUCUAGUAAUACUUGGCAAAUUUUCCUAAAGACUCUCUCUCUAAUAUAUAAGAAUAAAUUAGGGUCAUUGAUCUAAUGGAUUCUAAUCUGAUCCAACCGUGCAAAAUACACCCUAGUAAUGACAAUUUCGUAAUUUUUUAAGUUGAUAUUCAUCGUUCUUCUUCCUUUUUCCCGUAUCAUUUUCUCCACCCAUAAUUUCUCAGGUCUCUCUAAUUCUGACCCUGAAAUUUCGACUAAGCACUUAGAGGAAGAUCAAAUUGACGCUAUUCAUCAUCAAAUUGCUGAACUCGUCUGAUAAAUUAAUAUUUCAUUAAUCCAUCAGAUUCUAGAAGGGGCUUUUGAAUGGAUUUGAGCGUGAAACGACCAUUUACUACUAAGACAACUACUAGUUUGGAUAUGUGGUUGAAACAAUGUACUAAUAUUGUGCAUAAUCCGAGUGAUGGCUUUUUGAUCGAAUCACUUGUUUACCUGAUGAAUUGUUGAUUCACAUACUCUCUUUGCUGCCUGCCAAAGAUGCUGCUGUUGCACGCGUCUCCUGUAAGAGGAUUUUGCGUAUUUUCCCUUGGAUUUCAAGCCUCGUCUUUGAUAAUUUUUCUACUCCUGUUUGUUUUUUUAUCCCUCUAUUGAUCGUUACCCCAUUUAUCUUAAAUCUGUGGAUACUGUUAUCCAAGCACAUCGGUCUCAAUAUCUCACCAGGUUUAAAAUUCAUCUAGGGAAGGAUUUUAGCUCAGCAUGUUUCUGUCUGGGAAGAUGUAUGAGAAGAAAUCAUAUCUGUUAUCCAGACUUGAAAUCCACGCAAAUUAAUGCGUGGAUUACUUAUCCAUUAACCUGUAUCGGCCUCAGGGAGCUUGACCUUUAUAUUUACACGAGGGAACAAACUCAGUUACCAGCAGCAAUAUUCAUGUGUGAAACAUUAGAGGUGUUGAAGAUCGAUGUCAACCUCUGUCUUGAUCUAGCUUACAUCAUGCCAUCAUUUCGUCUUCCUAACUUGAAGUUACUUCACCUCUGUGUUUCUUUCAUUUCCGAGGAUGACUUUGUGCCUAGGCUAGUUGCUAGCUGCCCUGUACUUGAAGAUCUCACCGUGGUAGCCUCAUAUAACCAUAUCCAUAUUGCAAAUAUCUCUUCACCUAUUGUAUUUAAAAAUAUACCAUAGUGAUACAUAUGACUAUGAUAACAGUGACAUUAUGCUAUUCAUACUCCUAACCUGGAGUAUUUGAAUUACUGGGAUAAUCUAGCAUUAUCUUAUUCUAUCCCAAAGAUGGGCUCUUUUGCGGAAGCAAGUAUUGACCUUGGAAAUAAUUUGAUGAAUGUUACAAAGGAAGAAUCCGUUCAGCAAAUACUUAACCUCAUUAGACCCAUGUCUAUGUUCAGAAAUUAUCUUUGUCUGGCUCAAUUGUUGAGGGUCUGAGCGUUGUGGAGUUAAAGGAUCAACUGCCUGCGUUUCGUAGCUUGAAUCAUCUAGAGUUGAGUCAAUAUUAUAUGACGUAUUGGGAUAAAUUGUUGCCGUUUCUGAAUCGUUCGCUAGUCUUAGAAACACUGGUUUUUCCACAGGGAUUGAUUGAAUCACCAUCUUUUGAAAUUGAAAACAAUGCUUUCUAUAUUACAAGAGAGUUACUGGAGUUGGAACGCGAGUUUUUACAAACAACUCUUAUCAAUUAUUCCUUCUUGUUGCAGAAUCAAUCUUAAAAGAGAUUCUUUGGGGUAGAACGAGAGAUAUAUUUGAUCAAGUUUUUGUUGAGGCAUGCAUUAGUUUUGAAAGAAUUGGUCAUAUUCCGCGCAGCUUCUCAACAUUCAUAUGUAGAUCAAACGACACUUGAAAGCACAUUACAGAAUUUACCAAGGGCAUCAGUCGCUUGUUCAAUUCAAGUAAUCAAAAGUCCUACAUGUAAACAUUAGUCUGUAACUUAUAAUAUAGUACUGCCAUCUGUUUUAUAUUUUGUGCAAUAUUUACUAAAAAUAGUUGUUAUAUUAGUAUAAUAUUUCAUAAUAGCAGUUUUUUUUUUACUACUUUAAUCAUAUAUUUAGAAGGUCAAACUUUGAGAGGGAGUAUUUAUAUUGAAGAUAAAAUGAAGAUUUCCUUUUUGACAAUUUUGAUGUUGAUAAAUUUAAUAAUUGGAUAAAAUGUUUAAGAAUAUAGUUUAUCUGAAUAUGAUGCUGUUAAAGUUAUGAAUUUUGGAGGAAGUUGAAUUUGAUUUUGGUUGGUGUUGAUUUUGAUGAGUGUUGGUGAUUUGUGUGAGUUUUUACGGAUUGGAGAGAUGGCAUCAAAGAAUUAAAAGAUUUACUCAAAAAAAAGGAAAAAAAAAAAAAAAAAGAACUAAAGGAUUAUUAAAUUUAGAGUCCAGGGAUUUAGUUAGAGAAUUUAGUAUUGGCUCCUUCGAAGUUGUUAUCAUCAUCACCUGAAGGGGUGUCUGCUCAAGCGGACAAGUCUAUGCUGAUGACUUUCUCGAGCUACCCCCUAGAUUUAGUCAACUGCUAAACAUCGCCCACAAAUCUCUACAUAAAAUUCACAAUU
Long non-coding RNA from Chenopodium quinoa (quinoa), 2799 nucleotides. RefSeq lists it as uncharacterized. The record is from RefSeq and is a predicted model, not a curated record. The transcript is spliced from 4 exons. NCBI's taxonomy places the organism in Eukaryota, Viridiplantae, Streptophyta, Magnoliopsida, Caryophyllales, Amaranthaceae.